This is a non-coding RNA of Xylaria palmicola, 115 nucleotides long. The record is from the annotation of a GenBank genome assembly. Lineage: Eukaryota; Fungi; Ascomycota; Sordariomycetes; Xylariales; Xylariaceae.
GGUCUGGUGGUCUAGUGGUAUGAUUCUCGCUUAGGGUUCACCCUACGCCAAUAAGUGUCCUAACAAAGACGCUUAGAAAUGCGAGAGGUCCCGGGUUCAAUCCCCGGCCAGACCC